UACGUAGGUGGCAAGCGAUACUCGGAAUCACUAGGCGUAAAGCGCAGGUAGGCGGUUCGGUAAGUCUUUUGUGAAAGCUCCCGGCUUAACUGGGAGAGGCCAAAGGAAACUACCGGGCUGGAGUGUGGCAGAGGAAACUGGAAUUCCCGGUGUAGCGGUGAAAUGCGUAGAUAUCGGGAGGAAUACCUAUGGCGAAAGCAGGUUUCUGGGCCAUCACUGACGCUGAUCUGCGAAAGCUAGGGGAGCAAACAGG
RNAcentral lists this ribosomal RNA (253 nucleotides) under uncultured prokaryote. Its description in RNAcentral is "partial 16S ribosomal RNA". It matches the Rfam family "Bacterial small subunit ribosomal RNA", at positions 524 to 776 of the family's 1533-position model. The record is from RNAcentral.